Molecule: ribosomal RNA, 79 nt
Filed under: Bacillus licheniformis
Lineage: Bacteria; Bacillati; Bacillota; Bacilli; Caryophanales; Bacillaceae
Description: partial 16S ribosomal RNA
Rfam family: Bacterial small subunit ribosomal RNA
Source: RNAcentral
UUACUUCAUGGAGAGUUUGAUCCUGGCUCAGGACGAACGCUGGCGGCGUGCCUAAUACAUGCAAGUCGAGCGGACCGAC